RNAcentral lists this ribosomal RNA (525 nucleotides) under Streptomyces griseoflavus. Its description in RNAcentral is "bacterial SSU rRNA". It matches the Rfam family "Bacterial small subunit ribosomal RNA", at positions 384 to 919 of the family's 1533-position model. Lineage: Bacteria; Bacillati; Actinomycetota; Actinomycetes; Kitasatosporales; Streptomycetaceae. The record is from RNAcentral.
UGAUGCAGCGACGCCGCGUGAGGGAUGACGGCCUUCGGGUUGUAAACCUCUUUCAGCAGGGAAGAAGCGAAAGUGACGGUACCUGCAGAAGAAGCGCCGGCUAACUACGUGCCAGCAGCCGCGGUAAUACGUAGGGCGCGAGCGUUGUCCGGAAUUAUUGGGCGUAAAGAGCUCGUAGGCGGCUUGUCACGUCGGUUGUGAAAGCCCGGGGCUUAACCCCGGGUCUGCAGUCGAUACGGGCAGGCUAGAGUUCGGUAGGGGAGAUCGGAAUUCCUGGUGUAGCGGUGAAAUGCGCAGAUAUCAGGAGGAACACCGGUGGCGAAGGCGGAUCUCUGGGCCGAUACUGACGCUGAGGAGCGAAAGCGUGGGGAGCGAACAGGAUUAGAUACCCUGGUAGUCCACGCCGUAAACGGUGGGCACUAGGUGUGGGCGACAUUCCACGUCGUCCGUGCCGCAGCUAACGCAUUAAGUGCCCCGCCUGGGGAGUACGGCCGCAAGGCUAAAACUCAAAGGAAUUGACGGGGG